GGGGGAAUAUUGCACAAUGGGCGCAAGCCUGAUGCAGCCAUUCCGCGUGUAUGAAUAAGGCCUUCGGGUUGUAAAGUACUUUCAGUCGGGAGGAAGGUGGUAAGGUUAAUAACCUUAUCAAUUGACGUUACCGACAGAAGAAGCACCGGCUAACUCCGUGCCAGCAGCCGCGGUAAUACGGAGGGUGCAAGCGUUAAUCGGAAUUACUGGGCGUAAAGCGCACGCAGGCGGUUGAUUGAGUCAGAUGUGAAAUCCCCGGGCUUAACUCGGGAAUUGCAUCUGAUACUGGUCAGCUAGAGUCGUGUAGAGGGGGGUAGAAUUCCAUGUGUAGCGGUGAAAUGCGUAGAGAUGUGGAGGAAUACCGGUGGCGAAGGAGGCCCCCUGGACAAAGACUGACGCUCAGGUGCGAAAGCGUGGGGAGCAAACAGG
Molecule: ribosomal RNA, 429 nt
Filed under: Chloroflexota bacterium
Lineage: Bacteria; Bacillati; Chloroflexota
Description: Chloroflexi bacterium partial 16S ribosomal RNA
Rfam family: Bacterial small subunit ribosomal RNA
Source: RNAcentral